AUUUAAAAGAGAGAGGGGGAAAAAAAGCUCUUAACCUGUGUCUGUAUGACAUUAUGCAUUGUGUUACGUGGAUUGGCUGACUGGAUACAUGUAUGAAUGCGCAGGGGUACAGGUGUUCCUAUUAAAGUGGCUGGUGCACGUAGACGACAAUAUGAAUAUUUUAUAAACAAAUAAACAUCAAACCAAAGGAGGCUGCACAUAUAGACAAAUAAAAAAAGAAAGAAAGGUGGUUUACUAUUUAGGACCUAUCAUCCUGGCCCAUAGGUGGUGCUCUUUCAUUGUUUGGUUAUCAUUUUCAGCUCUUUUCCUUUUAGGUUGGUAUUCAAGGCCUUUCAAUCACCAGAGUGUUUGGAACAAAGAAGGAUCAAUCUAAACUUUUGGAAAGCUGAGAAUUCACUGCAAGCCUAACUAUUAGCUAGGCAAGUCUCUGUUGAGAAUGGGAGAGAUAAGAUUCAAAGAAAAAUAAUGGAGAUAAUUAGGAAUGGCUGAUUAGUGUCACUAACUGAUGGUUUUCCUGUACUCACUGAGAAAAAUCUGCCACUAUAGAGAGAUGGACAAGCAGAAUAUUUUGUGAUGCAUGGAAAGAAUUCUGUAAGUAAAGGGAAAGUACACAGUAAGGAAGGACCAGUUGGACCUUGAGCUAACUGCUGCAGCAGGGAGAGGGAUGCAUAUAUAUAUAAAAUGAGGGCUGGCAAUAUGAGUGCAACUCUCAGCCCGCGUUGACACUAGCCCAAUUAUCCAGGCCUCCCAUUGUCACAGAGACAGGCAUGUUGUAGUGUGUUGGUGCCCGACCAUGCCAGUCUCGCUGUGAGGAACACAACAUCAGAGCCGAACUCAGGAUCUACAGGAUCGCACUGAAGCCUGCUGUGCUUGAUGGUCAAACUAAUCAAUGAAUAUUGACAAUGUCGCUGCGCGUUUCCUACCGAAGAGGAUUGUGGAUCCAUACUACGGCCGUGUUCUUCCUUUUACAUGUUUAAUAAGAUCGAUGUUUCUUAAUAGUAGUGGGCUGUCUUAUGUGUGUUCAGAUACGACUGAUCCUGAAGAAAUGUCUUAGGAAUGACGUGCUUGUUUUGUUUACUCAUUGUAACAUGAUGUCUUCCAUUUUUAAGCACGGCUACAGUAUUAUAAGCCGUGAUUUUACGAGUGUGAUGAGUGCCAGUGUUCAUGCUGUUUUAUAUUAGGUUAAUACUGGGUUUGAGAUCUGAAUAAGUAGUAGAAGUAGGUAUUAAAUCUCAAUUGAAAAAGGGUACAGUUCCACUUUGCUGAUGUGUUCAUGUACAUGAACAGUGAAGUUAAUGGCUUAUUAAUGUAUCUGGGUGUAAACAGAUGUAAUUGAACAUGUAUCUAAAGAGUAGUUUUCUUUGUGUGUCAUUUUGUAGAGAGGUUGGUUUUGUUGCAACAACAAUAUAUAUAAAAAAAUAAAUAACAGCAGCCAAAAAAAGAGGAAAAAUAAAGAGUUUUACCUGGAGGAUCUCUGACAAAGAUCUUCAAAACUGGUUCAAAGUUUGUCUGAUCGAUGGUCUUUCUCGCUCUCCUCAGUUAGCGAGUCUCCUUAGCGUGGGAUAAUUUUAUGUAUUUAUUUUAAACUGUAAUUUAUAUAGGAUUAAGCAGAUUAAACUAGCUGGGCUUCUUCUCCAAGAUGUAAUACUGAAUUUAUCUCAAAUGCUAUGUUAUCUGGUUUGAGGGGCAGAGUUCUGGUCCGUGGUAAGCACAUAGCAUCAGUAUAUCAUACGUCGGGUCGGCAUAUCGUCAGAAGAAAGUUCUCGUAGCAGGUUUUUGAACAUCGUCCUUUGCAACCGUUAAAUACCUCCAAUUGAAUGACCGUGUAUGCAAAUAAUACAUACAAAUAAACAUGUGCAUAUACAGUAUACAUAUGCUGGUGGUGUUCUCAGAGAAAGAAAGAGGGCACGACUUGCUGUCUUUUGAUUCAG
This is a long non-coding RNA of Ictalurus punctatus (channel catfish), 1931 nucleotides long. The record is from Ensembl. NCBI's taxonomy places the organism in Eukaryota, Metazoa, Chordata, Actinopteri, Siluriformes, Ictaluridae.